RNAcentral lists this long non-coding RNA (1866 nucleotides) under Mus musculus (house mouse). Its description in RNAcentral is "long non-coding RNA chr17:10348753-10350619". The record is from RNAcentral. Lineage: Eukaryota; Metazoa; Chordata; Mammalia; Rodentia; Muridae.
GAAUCCCGGCUGUCUUCCUGUUCAUGUAGAGGAGAUGGGAAUGGAGGAAGGGUGUCUCCUAGCAUGUGCCUUAAAAUCAGCCUAAAAUGAGACCCCUGCCUACCCGUUCUUUUUUGUUAUGAUAAACUUUUUAAAUUUUUAAUUAUUCAUGGAAUUGUAAUUUAACAGUAGGAAUGACCGCACAAAUAUAGGAUGUGUAUAUUGAUGAACAGGUCUGUGCCAAUUCAGUUUAAUUUUUCCAUUCUGUCUCAUUUCACAGCUCCUGUUUUGUAGCUUAGUUUUGCUCCAUCAGUGGUCAAUACCUGGGGAAUUAUAAAACCCUGCACCCAGUGAUGCUUCAACCUACAGUUUGUUCUUCAGCCCAAGAGUGAAGAAUAGCGUCUUCAGGUGAGGAGGUACAGACUCAGCACCUAGGUAUUUUCUCCAUAUCUGCCUGUGUCUAAUGGGUGAGCAACUAGCAGAGUGGAAGCCAGCAGAGGUUAGUGGAGCCCACUGAUGAAAGAUGCUGGGUCCCUGGUGUCUGUCGGGGGAUGCUGGAAGGGCAUUGGGCUGAAGACAGAAUGAUUCAAGCCAAGGGUGAUGACCAACUCUUUGACAGAGGCCAGGACAGCCAACUCCAGGGAGAAAGGAGGGAGUGAUAUAAGCCAUUGUGUUCUGCACACCAGGGCACUCUGGACUCCACACUGUCUGUCAGAAGAAUAGCUCCUCUAUACUUUCAUUGGGCCACAAAAGUCAUGCCAAAAAUCAUAGCCAAGUGUCUUUAGUGUCUACAGCAGCCAAGAAAGUGUGGACAUCUCCAGGCAACUCCAGAAGGUCAGAGAAAGCAAUGGCGACAGAGACCAACAUAGGUGUGCAGGAAUCAAUCAAGGAACAAGGAGCAUGGUGCUAUGCUGGGGUACCUUCCGGAAGCAGAGGGUCGUCAACCUGUGAGCAUCUCUACAACCAUCACACUCUCAUCUGAGAAAGUAGCUUCUUUUCCUAGGGAUACCGUGACAAAUAGCCACAAGCUCGGUACUUUACAAGAGAACGAAUCUCUUGCCAUUCUGAAGGGCGAUAGCCUAAGAUCAAGCCAUCUGCAGAGCAGUACCCCUUCAUCCGGGAACUGAGAUUCUACCCAGCCUCCUCCAGUGUCUGAUGACCAUGUCACCACAAUAUCUGCCUCCUUUAUUGUGUAGCUUUCUUCUCCUCCCGCUGCCUCCUCUCCUGUGUCUUAUACGGCACUGGAUGGGUGUCCACUUGAGUAGAAAGGAUGAUUGCACGCCAAUGCCCAGAAGUUAGCUAUAUCUGCCAAGACACCUGGAUAAUGCCACAUUCACAGAUUUCUGGGAAAGUUAAUCCUUCUAGAAGCCACCAUGUCAUGCUUCCCUGAUAGAAAGUGACAGAGAGGGGAUACUAAGGGAUGAGCACAGAAGUCACAUGUCCUUCCUGUCACAUCCAAAUGAGUGUUGUCUGUCUGUCUGUUUGUCUGUCUGUCUCUAUCUAUCUAUCUAUCUAUCUAUCUAUCUAUCUAUCUAUCUAUCUAUCUAUCUACCUACCUACCUACCUACCUACCUACCUACCUACCUACCUACAUUUUCAUAAAUAUACUGGAUCUCACUCUGCAGCCCAAGGUGGCUUGGGAUUUAUCAUGCAGGCCAGACCGGCCUCAAACUUCUGACAAUCUUCCUGCCUCUGCCCUCCCCGCUCUGGUAUUAUAUUUAUGAGCUGUUAUAACCCAGAUGUUAAUUUUGUUUUAAUUAAAUUCCCUUUAGCUGCACAAGUGACUGCUCAUUUCUAGGGAGAAGUCUGUGGCUGUCCCUUGGGCUAUCUGUCCUCUCACUGAGACUUUGAAACAGAGGAAUAAUCUAGAUCCAUCAGAUCCUGGCC